CAGUAGCCGCGGUAAUACGGAGGGUGCGAGCGUUAAUCGGAAUUACUGGGCGUAAAGCGCACGCAGGCGGUCUGACAAGUCAGAUGUGAAAUCCCCGGGCUUAACCUGGGAACUGCAUUUGAAACUGUCAGGCUGGAGUCUUGUAGAGGGGGGUGGAAUUCCAGGUGUAGCGGUGAAAUGCGUAGAGAUCUGGAGGAAUACCGGUGGCGAAGGCAGCCAUCUGGCCUAAUACUGACGCUGAGGUACGAAAGCAUGGGGAGCAAACAGGAUUAGAUACCCCUGUAGUCCCUGUCUCUUAUAA
Molecule: ribosomal RNA, 301 nt
Filed under: uncultured bacterium
Lineage: Bacteria
Description: partial 16S ribosomal RNA
Rfam family: Bacterial small subunit ribosomal RNA
Source: RNAcentral